RNAcentral lists this small nuclear RNA (24 nucleotides) under Arabidopsis thaliana (thale cress). RNAcentral's name for it is "snRNA_12691". The record is from RNAcentral. Lineage: Eukaryota; Viridiplantae; Streptophyta; Magnoliopsida; Brassicales; Brassicaceae.
UUACUCUAAAAUGGAGUAACUAAU